UGAGUAAGCUGGAUGGUCGCUGCCUCGUAAGAGGGAGAGGAAAGUCCGAGCUCCGUAGGCAGGGUGCCGGGUAAUACCCGGUGGAGGCGACUCUAAGGAAAGUGCAACAGAGAUAUACCGCCCAUUUUAAGGUUGGAUGUUAGAGAUUAGAAUUUUGAUUUAAAUUUCUGAUAUCUAAUUUCUAACAUCCAACCUCUAAAUGUGGUAAGGGUGGAAAGGUGAGGUAAGAGCUCACCAGCACACUGGCGACUGUGUGGCUAUGUAAACCCCACCUGGAGCAAGAUCGAAUAGGGGAGCAUUUUAACGUCGGCCCGGCGUGCUCCCGGGUAGUAUCGCUUGAGCUAUCUGGUAACAGAUAGCCUAGAUAGAUGACCGUCUAAGACAGAACUCGGCUUAUAGGCUUACUCAGUUU
This 412-nucleotide RNase P RNA is filed under the name Fervidicella metallireducens AeB. Its description in RNAcentral is "Bacterial RNase P class A". It matches the Rfam family "Bacterial RNase P class A". From Rfam's summary of the family: Ribonuclease P (RNase P) is a ubiquitous endoribonuclease, found in archaea, bacteria and eukarya as well as chloroplasts and mitochondria. Its best characterised activity is the generation of mature 5'-ends of tRNAs by cleaving the 5'-leader elements of precursor-tRNAs. The record is from Rfam by way of RNAcentral. Lineage: Bacteria; Bacillati; Bacillota; Clostridia; Eubacteriales; Clostridiaceae.